Molecule: ribosomal RNA, 580 nt
Filed under: uncultured bacterium
Lineage: Bacteria
Description: bacterial SSU rRNA
Rfam family: Bacterial small subunit ribosomal RNA
Source: RNAcentral
CGGGAGGCAGCAGUAGGGAAUCUUCCGCAAUGGACGAAAGUCUGACGGAGCAACGCCGCGUGAGUGAUGAAGGCUUUCGGGUCGUAAAACUCUGUUGUUAGGGAAGAACAAGUGCUAGUUGAAUAAGCUGGCACCUUGACGGUACCUAACCAGAAAGCCACGGCUAACUACGUGCCAGCAGCCGCGGUAAUACGUAGGUGGCAAGCGUUAUCCGGAAUUAUUGGGCGUAAAGCGCGCGCAGGUGGUUUCUUAAGUCUGAUGUGAAAGCCCACGGCUCAACCGUGGAGGGUCAUUGGAAACUGGGAGACUUGAGUGCAGAAGAGGAAAGUGGAAUUCCAUGUGUAGCGGUGAAAUGCGUAGAGAUAUGGAGGAACACCAGUGGCGAAGGCGACUUUCUGGUCUGUAACUGACACUGAGGCGCGAAAGCGUGGGGAGCAAACAGGAUUAGAUACCCUGGUAGUCCACGCCGUAAACGAUGAGUGCUAAGUGUUAGAGGGUUUCCGCCCUUUAGUGCUGAAGUUAACGCAUUAAGCACUCCGCCUGGGGAGUACGGCCGCAAGGCUGAAACUCAAAUGAAUUG